GGGAGUAAUUGCCCUAAGUCUUUAAGACCUAGGUAUAAAAGCUUAACCACCCAUUUCCCUACAACCUAGCACUGUGCCCUUAUCGCCGUUAGUUCUUCCUCUUCAGUCUCGUCGGUCUCAGCUUGGUCUUCCACCGAGCUCAGAUUUUCGAUCGAGUGUCGAGCUACUCCGGCGGAUCCGUGGAGGAUUUGCAAGCGAAUGGGAGUUCCCUUGAUCACCGCAUCGGCGGCUACGGCAAGGAGAAAGUCCUAAACGGAGGGACACGGGACGCGGAAGGGAAGGUGAGGAUGAGUCUUUGGACAUGGCGGAGGUUUGACAGACGGAGUAGACGAGAAGGCGGGAUGGACGCAUGGUGCUGUCCGGACAUUAGGAGUGUUGAGUUUAUGCUAUGGUGGUGUACUGGAUUCUUAGCUGGGUUCAUUGUGCUAAACUUUUGUGUGAGAUGAUGACCUUAUUUUCUUUGAAAUGAAACAUUAGUUUUGGUAUCA
This is a long non-coding RNA of Zingiber officinale, 488 nucleotides long. RefSeq lists it as uncharacterized. The record is from RefSeq and is a predicted model, not a curated record. Lineage: Eukaryota; Viridiplantae; Streptophyta; Magnoliopsida; Zingiberales; Zingiberaceae. The transcript is spliced from 2 exons.